UCCGCCCGGGUCCGUGGUUGCGUCGCACAGGCUGGGCAGGCGCCCUGCCGGGUGCGGCAAGCCGAUGCCAGUCGCAGGCGAAACGGUCCACGUAAGUCGGCCCUCGGGUCGACGAUCACGGUGCGGCUUAGUCGUAAGUCCUGCCUCGGACCGGACGUCAGAUACGUCCGAAUCCGGGAGAAGGUCAGUAGUGGCACCAAGCUGCGACCACCUCAGCAGGCGAUUGUGGGGUCGAAGACCAGGUCGGCCGGGCGGA
This 256-nucleotide non-coding RNA is filed under the name Nocardioides sp. Root614. RNAcentral's name for it is "raiA RNA". It matches the Rfam family "raiA RNA". The record is from Rfam by way of RNAcentral. Lineage: Bacteria; Bacillati; Actinomycetota; Actinomycetes; Propionibacteriales; Nocardioidaceae.